RNAcentral lists this transfer RNA (75 nucleotides) under Acidobacteriota bacterium. RNAcentral's name for it is "Acidobacteria bacterium (soil metagenome) tRNA-Val". It matches the Rfam family "tRNA". From Rfam's summary of the family: Transfer RNA (tRNA) molecules are approximately 80 nucleotides in length. Their secondary structure includes four short double-helical elements and three loops (D, anti-codon, and T loops). Lineage: Bacteria; Pseudomonadati; Acidobacteriota. The record is from RNAcentral. RNAcentral also lists the same sequence under 1 other name.
GGGCGGUUAGCUCAGUGGUAGAGCACCGGUUUUACACACCGGCUGUCACAGGUUCGAAUCCUGUACCGCCCACCA